RNAcentral lists this ribosomal RNA (496 nucleotides) under uncultured bacterium. Its description in RNAcentral is "bacterial SSU rRNA". It matches the Rfam family "Bacterial small subunit ribosomal RNA", at positions 28 to 468 of the family's 1533-position model. The record is from RNAcentral.
GACGAACGCUGGCGGCGUGGAUUAGGCAUGCAAGUCGAACGGUAGAUAUCCUUCGGGGUAUUGAGAGUGGCGAACGGGUGAGUAACACGUAGGUAAUCUACCCUCAAAUCGGGGACAACCCAGGGAAACUUGGGCUAAUACCGGAUGAGUGCAGCACCUAAAUCAUCCAUACGGAAUCUGGUUAAGAUUGGGUUUUGUAUGGUUGGGUGAUUUAGGUGCUGUAUAAAAGAUGGCUUCGGCUGUCGUUUGAGGAUGAGCCUGCGCUCUAUUAGUUAGUUGGUGAGGUAAUGGCUCACCAAGGCGAUGAUAGAUAGGCGGCCUUAACGGGUGGUCGCCCACACUGGGAUUGAGAUACGGCCCAGACUCCUACGGGAGGCAGCAGUCGAGAAUAGUCUACAAUGGACGAAAGUCUGAUAGUGCGACGCCGCGUGAACGAUGAAUCCCUUCGGGGUGUAAAGUUCUUUUAUAUGUGAGCAAUGCCUUAUAUGUGAAUAGC